This 492-nucleotide ribosomal RNA is filed under the name Triticum aestivum (bread wheat). RNAcentral's name for it is "partial small subunit ribosomal RNA". Lineage: Eukaryota; Viridiplantae; Streptophyta; Magnoliopsida; Poales; Poaceae. The record is from RNAcentral.
AUGGCGGGCGGGUCCUCUUUCUCCUCCUCCCGCUCUUACUCCCACUCCUCCGGGUCGCCGGCGCUCGCCAACGUCAAGGCCGAGCCCGUGGAGACGCCGCUCGGGUGGCGCACCCGCGGCGGCGCCCUUGUCAUCAACAAGGACGGUCGUGGCCCCUCUGCUCUCUCCUCCUGCCUCGUUAAACUGAAGAUCGAGACGGGGCUCAUCGCCGUAAAGAAGGAACACAAUGACAUGGCCGCUGAUGAAGAGACCGCCCUCAAGUGGGCGCGGGCGGACUACGUCCAGCUGGAGAUGGAGCGCGAGCGCCUCGCCCUCGAGGAGAUCGCCAGCUGGCGCCGCGGUUGUGACGAGAGUGGCGUCAUCGUCCUCGAGGAUAGCGACGAGGAGGCACCGCCGCCAACCAAACCCGUCCGCCAAGGCGACCUAGGGCAGGGUUGUAGCAAGGAUCGCGACGGCGUGAAGAACGAGUACGACGGUGGCGGCGGCGACUAA